CCUACGGGAGGCAGCAGUGGGGAAUUUUGGACAAUGGGCGAAAGCCUGAUCCAGCAAUGCCGCGUGUGUGAAGAAGGCCUUCGGGUUGUAAAGCACUUUUGUCCGGAAAGAAAUCCUUGACUCUAAUACAGUCGGGGGAUGACGGUACCGGAAGAAUAAGCACCGGCUAACUACGUGCCAGCAGCCGCGGUAAUACGUAGGGUGCGAGCGUUAAUCGGAAUUACUGGGCGUAAAGCGUGCGCAGGCGGUUUGCUAAGACCGAUGUGAAAUCCCCGGGCUCAACCUGGGAACUGCAUUGGUGACUGGCAGGCUAGAGUAUGGCAGAGGGGGGUAGAAUUCCACGUGUAGCAGUGAAAUGCGUAGAGAUGUGGAGGAAUACCGAUGGCGAAGGCAGCCCCCUGGGCCAAUACUGACGCUCAUGCACGAAAGCGUGGGGAGCAAACAGGAUUAGAUACCCUGGUAGUCCACGCCCUAAACGAUGUCAACUAGUUGUUGGGGAUUCAUUUCCUUAGUAACGUAGCUAACGCGUGAAGUUGACCGCCUGGGGAGUACGGUCGCAAGAUUAAAACUCAAAUGAAAUUGACGGCUGAGAGNGCGAGACGACACGAGGAGAGG
RNAcentral lists this ribosomal RNA (615 nucleotides) under uncultured bacterium. Its description in RNAcentral is "bacterial SSU rRNA". It matches the Rfam family "Bacterial small subunit ribosomal RNA", at positions 338 to 944 of the family's 1533-position model. The record is from RNAcentral.